CCCUUAGAUGUUCUGGGCCGCACGCGCGCUACACUGAUGCGUUCAACGAGUAUAAAACCUUGAUCGAUAGGUCUGGGUAAUCUUGUGAAUGCGCAUCGUGCUAGGGAUAGACUGUUGCAAUUUUCAGUCUUGAACGAGGAAUUCCUAGUAAACGCAAGUCAUCAGCUUGCAUUGAUUACCUCCCUGCCCUUUGUACACACCGCCCGUCGCACCUACCGAUUGAAUGACUCGGUGAAAAAUUGGGACCGUGAGUCCGCUUGCUUCAUUGCGAGUGGAUUGAUGGGAACUUUUUUAAACCUCGCCAUUUAGAGGAAGGUGAAGUCGUAACAAGGUUUCCGUAGGUGAACCUGCGGAAGGAUCAUUA
Molecule: ribosomal RNA, 364 nt
Filed under: Pseudoperonospora cubensis
Lineage: Eukaryota; Oomycota; Peronosporomycetes; Peronosporales; Peronosporaceae
Description: SSU rRNA
Rfam family: Eukaryotic small subunit ribosomal RNA
Source: RNAcentral